Molecule: non-coding RNA, 180 nt
Organism: Oryza barthii
Lineage: Eukaryota; Viridiplantae; Streptophyta; Magnoliopsida; Poales; Poaceae
Source: Rfam
AACCACACUAUCAAUGAAUGGAUUCACCCGUGAUAUGACAUGGUUGGUUGUUCCACUUAGGACAAGGACGUGGAAUCCUAUUAACAGCCAUCGCACGAAAUUAAUAGGAUGCCACGCCCUCAUUUUAGGUGGAACAACCACGUCAUCUUAUAUGUGAAUCCAUUCAUUGAUAGUGUGGUU